This 242-nucleotide ribosomal RNA is filed under the name uncultured bacterium. RNAcentral's name for it is "partial 16S ribosomal RNA". It matches the Rfam family "Bacterial small subunit ribosomal RNA", at positions 524 to 765 of the family's 1533-position model. The record is from RNAcentral.
UACGGGGGGGGCAAGCGUUGUUCGGAAUUACUGGGCGUAAAGGGCUCGUAGGUGGCCAACUAAGUCGGACGUGAAAUCCCUCGGCUUAACCGGGGAACUGCGUCCGAUACUGGCAGGCUUGAAUCCGGGAGAGGGAUGCGGAAUUCCAGGUGUAGCGGUGAAAUGCGUAGAUAUCUGGAGGAACACCGGUGGCGAAGGCGGCAUCCUGGACCGGCAUUGACGCUGAGGCGCGAAAGCCAGGG